AUUGAACGCUGGCGGCAGGCCUAACACAUGCAAGUCGAACGAGUGGCGGACGGGUGAGUAAUGUCUGGGAAACUGCCCGAUGGAGGGGGAUAACUACUGGAAACGGUAGCUAAUACCGCAUACCAUCGGAUGUGCCCAGAUGGGAUUAGCUAGUAGGUGGGGUAACGGCUCACCUAGGCGACGAUCCCUAGCUGGUCUGAUAGGAUGACCAGCAACACUGGAACGCAGGUACGGUACAGACUCCGACGAGAGGCAGCAGUGGGGAAUAUUGCACAAUGGGCGCAAGCCUGAUGCAGAGACGCCGCGUGGGGGAUGACGGCCUUCGGGUUGUAAACUCCUUUCACCAUCGACGCGGUAGAUGGAGAAGAAGCACCGGCUAACUACGUGCCAGCAGCCGCGGUAAUUC
RNAcentral lists this ribosomal RNA (406 nucleotides) under uncultured bacterium. Its description in RNAcentral is "partial 16S ribosomal RNA". It matches the Rfam family "Bacterial small subunit ribosomal RNA", at positions 30 to 526 of the family's 1533-position model. The record is from RNAcentral.